Molecule: ribosomal RNA, 420 nt
Filed under: uncultured Nitrososphaerota archaeon
Lineage: Archaea; Thermoproteati; Nitrososphaerota
Description: bacterial SSU rRNA
Rfam family: Archaeal small subunit ribosomal RNA
Source: RNAcentral
CAGCCGCCGCGGUAACACCAGCCCCUCGAGUGGUGGGGAUGAUUAUUUGGCCUAAAGCGUCCGUAGCCAGCCGGAAAAGUUUCCCGUUAAAUCCGACGUCUCAAGCGUUGGACUGCGGGAAAUACUGUCCGGCUAGAGAGUGGGAGAGGUUAGCGGUAUUCUGGGGGUAGGGGCGAAAUCCUUUGAUCCCCGGAGGACCACCAGUGGCGAAGGCUGCUGACUAGAACACGUCUGACGGUCAGGGACGAAAGCUGGGGUAGCGAACCGGAUUAGAUACCCGGGUAGUCCCAGCCGUAAACGAUGCAUGCUAGGUGUUGGGUUGGCCACGAGCCACCCCAGUGCCGCAGGGAAGCCGUUAAGCAUGCCGCCUGGGAAGUACGAUCGCAAGGUUGAAACUUAAAGGAAUUGGCGGGGGAGCAC